AUGGUGGUCAUCUUGCCGUCCAUGCUGUGUGCGCUCGUUUGCGUCCUUGGACUCGCUCUCGCCUCCCGGUGCGCAUGCCGACGCCGACACUCCAGCCCCAGUUCCUCCUCCAACCCAUUCCCGAAGGGCCUCAAGAAGAAGGCCAUCGACGCGCUCCCCACCAUCUCCUUCGCCGCAACCGCUUCACUGCAGCCGGCAGCAACAGAGUGUGCGAUAUGCCUGGCUGAGUUCGUGGAGGGGGAGGUCGUGCGUGUUCUCCCGCGCUGCGGCCACACCUUCCAUGUUCUCUGCAUCCACGCUUGGCUCCGGACCUGCGCCACCUGCCCCUCUUGUCGCGCCUCCAUCGCUGCUGCUCCAGCCCCUGCACCUACGCUAGUGGUCGUAGUGGCAGGGAACAACAGGUGCGGGAGGUGCGGCAAGGCGGCCGCCCUGGCUGGUGGUGGAGAUAGCACGUUCUUGCCUUAA
This 465-nucleotide ribosomal RNA is filed under the name Triticum aestivum (bread wheat). RNAcentral's name for it is "partial small subunit ribosomal RNA". Lineage: Eukaryota; Viridiplantae; Streptophyta; Magnoliopsida; Poales; Poaceae. The record is from RNAcentral.